This 468-nucleotide ribosomal RNA is filed under the name uncultured bacterium. Its description in RNAcentral is "partial 16S ribosomal RNA". It matches the Rfam family "Bacterial small subunit ribosomal RNA", at positions 28 to 507 of the family's 1533-position model. The record is from RNAcentral.
GACGAACGCUGGCGGCGUGCUUAACACAUGCAAGUCGAACGGUGAAGCUCCAGCUUGCUGGAGUGGAUCAGUGGCGAACGGGUGAGUAACACGUGAGCAGCCUGCCCCUGACUCUGGAAUAAGCGCUGGAAACGGCGUCUAAUACUGGAUACGAGAAGGGUCCGCAUGGGCACCUUCUGGAAAGUUUUUCGGUUGGGGAUGGACUCGCGGCCUAUCAGCUUGUUGGUGAGGUAAUGGCUCACCAAGGCGACGACGGGUAGCCGGCCUGAGAGGGCGACCGGCCACACUGGGACUGAGACACGGCCCAGACUCCUACGGGAGGCAGCAGUGGGGAAUAUUGCACAAUGGGCGAAAGCCUGAUGCAGCGACGCCGCGUGAGGGAUGACGGCCUUCGGGUUGUAAACCUCUUUCAGCAGGGAAGAAGCGAAAGUGACGGUACCUGCAGAAGAAGCACCGGCUAACUACGUG